RNAcentral lists this ribosomal RNA (253 nucleotides) under uncultured bacterium. Its description in RNAcentral is "partial 16S ribosomal RNA". It matches the Rfam family "Bacterial small subunit ribosomal RNA", at positions 524 to 776 of the family's 1533-position model. The record is from RNAcentral.
UACGAAGGGGGCUAGCGUUGCUCGGAAUCACUGGGCGUAAAGGGUGCGUAGGUGGCGAGGUAAGUCGGAUGUGAAAGCUCGGAGCUCAACUCCGAAAUGGCAUUGGAAACUACCUUGCUCGAGGGUUGGAGGGGGGACUGGAAUUCUCGGUGUAGCAGUGAAAUGCGUAGAUAUCGAGAGGAACACCAGUGGCGAAGGCGAGUCCCUGGACAACUCCUGACACUGAGGCACGAAAGCUAGGGGAGCAAACAGG